GUCAGUUUGGCCGAGUGGUUAAGGCGAUAGACUUGAAUUAUCUAUUGGGCUCUGCCCGCGUCGGUUCAAAUCCGGCAGCUGACG
Molecule: transfer RNA, 84 nt
Filed under: Lachancea lanzarotensis
Lineage: Eukaryota; Fungi; Ascomycota; Saccharomycetes; Saccharomycetales; Saccharomycetaceae
Description: tRNA-Ser (TGA) cove score=76.14
Rfam family: tRNA
About the family: Transfer RNA (tRNA) molecules are approximately 80 nucleotides in length.
Source: RNAcentral